AGAGUUUGAUCCUGGCUCAGAACGAACGCUGGCGGCGUGCCUAACACAUGCAAGUCGAACGAGAAAGCACCUUCGGGUGUCAGUACAGUGGCAGACGGGUGAGUAAUACUUAGGUAACCUACCUCCGAGAUGGGGACAACCUUCCGAAAGGAGGGCUAAUACCGAAUAAGACCACAGUUACUUCGGUGACAGGGGUUGAAGGUGGCCUCUACUUGUAAGCUAUCGCUUGGAGAUGGGCUUAAGCACCAUUAGCUAGUUGGUAGGGUAAUGGCCUACCAAGGCUCAGAUGGUUAGCUGAUCUGAGAGGUUGAUCAGCCACACUGGAACUGAGACACGGUCCAGACUCCUACGGGAGGCAGCAGUGGGGAAUUUUGCGCAAUGGGGGAAACCCUGACGCAGCGACGCCGCGUGGGUGAUGAAGGCCUUCGGGUCGUAAAGCCCUGUCAGGAGGAAAGAAAAACGGAAUGGCUAAUAUCCAUUCCGCUUGACGGUACCUCCAGAGGAAGCACCGGCUAACUACGUGCCAGCAGCCGCGGUAAUACGUAGGGUGCAAGCGUUGUUCGGAAUUAUUGGGCGUAAAGCGCGUGUAGGUGGUUUGGAAAGUUGGAUGUGAAAUCCCUGGGCUCAACCCAGGAAGUGCAUCCAAAACUACUUAGCUAGAGGACGAGAGGGGGAGGUGGAAUUCCUAGUGUAGAGGUGAAAUUCGUAGAUAUUAGGAGGAAUACCGGUGGCGAAGGCGGCCUCCUGGAUCGUUCCUGACACUGAGACGCGAAAGCGUGGGUAGCAAACAGGAUUAGAUACCCUAGUAGUCC
RNAcentral lists this ribosomal RNA (812 nucleotides) under uncultured bacterium. RNAcentral's name for it is "bacterial SSU rRNA". It matches the Rfam family "Bacterial small subunit ribosomal RNA", at positions 8 to 796 of the family's 1533-position model. The record is from RNAcentral.